This is a long non-coding RNA of Centrocercus urophasianus (Greater sage-grouse), 2029 nucleotides long. RefSeq lists it as uncharacterized. NCBI's taxonomy places the organism in Eukaryota, Metazoa, Chordata, Aves, Galliformes, Phasianidae. The transcript has 2 exons. The record is from RefSeq and is a predicted model, not a curated record.
UUCCGCAGCCCCCGAGGGGAGGGGAGAGCAGGGCUCUGCGGGGAUGGAGGACAUAGAAAGACUUCUGCCAUUCUAGCCGUUAGAACAGUAAUCGCGGCCCCAGAGCCUUUCCCCGAAUCUCGUUAGAGCAAUGCCGUUUUGUCGGUUUCUCAUCAAGCUGUACCUGCUACAUUUUUUUUUGGCCGUGGGAUGGCAUCAGGGCCGGCACAUUGCAAGAUCUCCGCACAAACCGGGAGACCCGGCCCCGCGCUGCUCGGGCACUGACCCACUCGUGGAAUGGGAGAGGGAAUAGGCGACAACUAUCAUUUUGACUUCAUGGGGCGGAUGGGACAGCGCUACUUCAAUCCGCUCCUGCGUAAGAGCUCCUUUUCCUCUGGAAGAGGCAGCUCUUAGUUCAACUUGUAGGGUCUUGCUUGAUUAUUUCCAGUGGACGGGAACCUCUCGGCAGCGUCCGUGCGGGGCAGGUUUCAACCUCGGGAAGGAACCGCGAGACUGCAUCAGAAUGCCUUCCCUGUUCAUCUCUGUCCGGACGCCUUUCCGUUUCCCCGGCUCUGACUCCUACCCACCCAUCCCUCCCGGCAGUAGGAAAUUCCCGUUCCACCCGUUUCCGAUCUGGAAUCCCCCCCCCACGUAAAAGUGAACACAGGAAUCGCGUGCGAUCGGUGCUCGCAGCCGGAUGAAAGCCCCUGGACGCUGUCAGCGGCGGCGGCGGCCGGCGGCAGCCCCGCACCGAGGGACGCACCGUGCAGUCCCCGCCGGCCUUUGCCUCCCCUUCUUCGCCCUCCCUGAGCAGCGGGGCCACUCUUCGGCCACAGCAGCGCCGGCAUCAUUCAGCACACAGGUAGCGACUUGAUACACUCCUGACAUGGAAAAAAAUAUGUUGCCUACACCCAAAAGCCCUCAUAUAUCACAGCCCAGUUAAAGGAGAAAGAAGCACAAAUAACGAAUUGAAAAGCUACAUAUAACCUACUGUCCGACGGCCACAGCAUUCAGAGUAAGGAAGUCCCUGGGUUUGGUUUACUUUUUUCUUCAGUGCAGCAAUAUAGUUCUUAAGCGGGUAAAUCACACCCCGGUGUAUUCAGUCACUUCAUUUUUGUUAAUAGGGCUGGCUGUGGGCUUGCAGAAGUUGAGCAAGCAGGAUGCCCACCCUGCUGUGUGUUGUUGGCAAAGUCUGUUUUACUCUUCAUAAAAAUAAAUGCAUUUCAUGCUUCUCACUUGAAUCAAGAACAGCCAUAUUGUAUGCAUUUCAAUUAGUGGGUGUAUUAUUUAUGUUAUAUUUCCUGAAACACGAGUGGCAAUGCUUCUGAUGCUUAUUUUAAUCAGUGUGCCAAUUCUGAUGCAGCCACUGUCCCUUUCUGAAAUUUUUGUUUGCAAAUUUUUUAAAAACCAUAUUUUGUUUCAAAGUAACUGCAGUAAUACAGCACAAAAGAAGCAGUAUCAGAGGAGAUGGGACUACACACAGAUAAACAAAUCUACUUCAAUGGCACCCAGUUUGUAGAGUUUCACCUGAAUAGAAAAAUUAAUUUUUUAAACAAUUUUUUAAAAUAAAACAUACACAGACUUCUGCAACAUAAAUAUAAGGAAUAAAGAAAUCAAAGCCUGCACAGUUAAUCUACAUAAACCAGUAUCAGAAACAAACCUUGGGAGGAGACACACUUUUGUGUAGAACCUAGAGCUGGGACAGUGACUUCGUGGACCACUGUCUGUCCAUCUUUUCCAAUAUUAUUUGCUGAUUGAACAAAAGGUAUUUUCAUACCCCAUGAAUCUUCAAACACUGUGAUGAGUUCUCUGGGAGAAUAUCUGUUUCCCUGAUAUAAGCCAAAUAUUGCUGUACUGGUCAACUGAUGCAGAGCUGAUCAGCGACUUGGGAUAUUCACGUCAACAGAAACACAUCAGUUCUUCUGCAAACUGACCUUCCUAUGCAGAAGAUUGAAUUCGCAACUUGGAUUUAGCACCACAUUUUUAAUUUUUCCCCCCCAUUUUCCUUACCAAAAAAUAAAUAAAUGAAAUAAAAGAUUAUUUUCCCUUC